RNAcentral lists this ribosomal RNA (595 nucleotides) under Flavobacteriales bacterium symbiont of Aulacaspis sp. RNAcentral's name for it is "bacterial SSU rRNA". It matches the Rfam family "Bacterial small subunit ribosomal RNA", at positions 369 to 962 of the family's 1533-position model. Lineage: Bacteria; Pseudomonadati; Bacteroidota; Flavobacteriia; Flavobacteriales. The record is from RNAcentral.
CAAUGGAGGAAACUCUGAACCAGCUAUGCCGCGUGUAGGAAGACAGUCUUUUAGAUUGUAAACUACUUUUACAUAGAAAUAAAAGUUACUACGGGAUAGUAACCUGAAGGUACUAUGCGAAUAAGUGUCGGCUAAUUUCGUGCCAGCAGCCGCGGUAAUACGAAAGACACAAGCGUUAUCCGGAUUUAUUGGGUUUAAAGGGUGUGUAGGUUGUUUAUUAAGUCAGUAGUGAAAGCUUACAGCUUAACUGUAAAAUUGCUAUUGAUACUGAUAAGCUUGAGUAAGAUUGGAGUAUCUGGAAUGUAUGGUGUAGCGGUGAAAUGCAUAGAUAUCAUACAGAACACCAAUAGCGAAGGCAGGAUGCUAAAUCUUCACUGACGCUGAGGCACUAAAGCGUGGGUAGCGAACAGGAUUAGAUACCCUGGUAGUCCACUGCCCAAACUAUGAUCACUAGCUAUUGGAAAAAUUAUAUUCAGUGGCUAAGCUAAAGCGAUAAGUGAUCCACCUGGGAAGUACGAUCGCAAGAUUGAAACUCAAAGGAAUUGACGGGGUUUCGCACAAGCGGUGGAGCAUGUGGUUUAAUUCGAUAAUACGC